ACCCUGCUCUCCCAAAAGGGAAAAAAAAGAACACAUUUUGCUGGCUUGCCUGCCUGCUUACUAGAUGCCUGCUGGUUCACCUCGGACCCUGGUCUUUGACGCCGCGGAAGAACAGCCGGCUGGGGUCUGGCUGUUUAGGUUACGGGAGGGAGGGGAUGGGCCCCUCCAGCCUGCGCUCCACGCUGCCCCCCCAUUCACCCAGACUCACCUGGAGCCUUGGGGAGGGGUGGGAGAAAAUGAGGGCGAUCAUUUGGAUUUCCUGCCAGAAAAUUUAUUUAUGCUAAUUUAUGCUGCAUUUACCUGAACAGAAUUCGAUAUUUUUCUUCCCAAAUGCUGCUGUUUAUUUUUCGGGUAAUUGAUCCUUCUUACUUUUCCUGUGCUACCAGAUUGAGCGUUGCUGAGGAGGGCAGUCGUAAGUGGUAAAGCGCAUAUAUGUGAAAAACAAAAGCAGGGGAGAGGUUGCCCUGGGACAUUUCCUGAGGGAGCGGACCCUGUUCCUGGCUGAGAGAGCGUGGGCACCUCCAGCCACUCCACCACGCCACGGGACCAUGGUCUCGACGCGAAGUCCAGCCUGAGCUGACUCCCGGGGCUGGCGGUGUGUCGGGUGGGAGCGCAGGCUCUGGGUUGCCGGGCUGGGCUGCUGUUCCGCUCUGCAACCACUGCUUAGGUCUCUCGGGAUCCUGGAUACAGUCCCUCCCUCAAGAGGAAGAUCAGUGAGCGCCUACAUUAGGCAUCAUUUAGACAAAGAUGACCAAUGGAGGAACUAGGAGCUGUGCAUCAGUCCUGUCAGGAAGAAGGAAGGAGGACAGAUGGGAGAGUGUUUUGGUGAGCCAAACCCUCGUCUCUCCAAGUAGAAGCUCUCCGUCUGCUUCCAGCCUCCCAUUUCCAGCUGCCCUCAGGAAAUUGCCACUGGAUGUCCCCAAGGCACCUCCAACGCCACGAGCCUGAAACAAAGCACAUCCUCUCCUCUGUGCCGAGACCCCCUUCCUGCUGAAGGGGCCCUUAUCCUCCCAGCCCGUGGAGCUCCAGGUCAGAAGCAGCUUUGAUGGCACCUCUUCCUUCCUUCCUGAUGUGCCAGGAGUCGCCAAGCCCACAAAGCUUCCUUCCCAAUCUCGCUGGGGUUCGUCUCCCGCAGCACCUUGGCCUGAGUUCCAGCCCUCCUCCCCUCUCCUCAGGACUCAGGCCCCUUUCCAGUGCGCCCAGCACUGGCUGCCAGAGACAUCUGGCCCCUGCAGGACUCUUACCACAUACCCACCCAACAAGCUGCGGUGAUUCUCUUCGCCUACUGCUGCAAGUCCAGGGGCCCCGUAAAGCAGCCCCUCUCUGACUUCCUUUCCUGUCAGAUCUGUCUUCUCACCCAUCAUUCAGUUUCCUGUGCUCCUUCUGGCUAGAAUGCCCUCCCCCUUCGUGUAUCCAGCCGUAACUACCCAUGAGUCAA
Long non-coding RNA from Equus quagga, 1438 nucleotides. RefSeq lists it as uncharacterized. The record is from RefSeq and is a predicted model, not a curated record. NCBI's taxonomy places the organism in Eukaryota, Metazoa, Chordata, Mammalia, Perissodactyla, Equidae. The transcript is spliced from 3 exons.